Molecule: ribosomal RNA, 418 nt
Filed under: uncultured prokaryote
Description: bacterial SSU rRNA
Rfam family: Archaeal small subunit ribosomal RNA
Source: RNAcentral
GUGUCAGCAGCCGCGGUAAUACCAGCGCCCCAAGUGGUGAUCGAUAUUAUUGGGUCUAAAACGUCCGCAGCCGGCCCGGUAAAUCUCCGGGUAAAUCGUCCAGCUUAACUGGUCGAAUUCUGGGGAGACUGCCGGGCUUGGGACCGGGAGAGGUCGGAGGUACUCCAGGGGUAGGGGUGAAAUCCUGUAAUCCCUGGGGGACCACCGGUGGCGAAGGCGUCCGACUAGAACGGGUCCGACGGUAAGGGACGAAGGCUAGGGGAGCAAACGGGAUUAGAUACCCCGGUAGUCCUAGCUGUAAACGCUGCGGGCUUGGUGUUGGGGGUCCUUCGAGGGCGCCCAGUGCCGGAGAGAAGCCAUUAAGCCCGCCGCCUGGGGAGUACGGCCGCAAGGCUGAAACUUAAAGGAAUUGACGGGG